RNAcentral lists this ribosomal RNA (445 nucleotides) under uncultured bacterium. RNAcentral's name for it is "bacterial SSU rRNA". It matches the Rfam family "Bacterial small subunit ribosomal RNA", at positions 479 to 920 of the family's 1533-position model. The record is from RNAcentral.
CGGAAUAAGAAGCACCGGCUAACUACGUGCCAGCAGCCGCGGUAAUACGUAGGGUGCGAGCGUUAAUCGGAAUUACUGGGCGUAAAGCGUGCGCAGGCGGUUUGAUAAGACAGGCGUGAAAAUCCCCCGGGCUUAACCUGGGAACUGCGCUUGUGACUGUCUCACUAGAGUACGGCAGAGGGGGGUGGAAUUCCACGUGUAGCAGUGAAAUGCGUAGAGAUGUGGAGGAACACCGAUGGCGAAGGCAGCCCCCUGGGCCGAUACUGACGCUCAUGCACGAAAGCGUGGGGAGCAAACAGGAUUAGAUACCCUGGUAGUCCACGCCCUAAACGAUGUCAACUAGGUGUUGGGUGGGUAAAACCAUUUAGUACCGGAGCUAACGCGUGAAGUUGACCGCCUGGGGAGUACGGCCGCAAGGUUAAAACUCAAAGGAAUUGACGGGGAC